GAUGAACGCUGACAGAAUGCUUAACACAUGCAAGUCUUUGGCGAAGCUGUGCUUGCACAGCCUAGCCAAGGCGGACGGGUGAGUAACGCGUAAGGAACUUGCCCUGCAGUCAGGGAUAACAGACGGAAACGACUGAUAAGACCUGGUAAAGUCAGGCGGACUCAUGUCCAGCCUGAUGAAAAGAGAUGCUGCAGGAGAGCCUUGCGUCCUAUUAGCUUGUUGGUGGGGUAACGGCCCACCAAGGGGAUGAUAGGCAGCCGGCCUGAGAGGGUGGACGGCCACGAGGGGACUGAGAUACGGCCCUUACUACUACGGGAGGCAGCAGUGGGGAAUAAUGGACAAUGGGGGCAACCGUGAUCCAGCAAUUCUGUGUGCACGAUGAAGGUUUUAGGAUUGUAAAGUGCUUUCAGAAGGGAAGAAAAAAAUGACGGUACCUGCAGAAGAAGCGACGGCUAAAUACGUG
This 463-nucleotide ribosomal RNA is filed under the name uncultured bacterium. RNAcentral's name for it is "partial 16S ribosomal RNA". It matches the Rfam family "Bacterial small subunit ribosomal RNA", at positions 28 to 507 of the family's 1533-position model. The record is from RNAcentral.